UGUUUUUACUUAUAAUGCUCUUAUUAGGGGGUACAGCAAGUCUGGUGAUCCAGAUGGUGCAUAUGCCAUUUAUGAGAAAAUGAUGGUCGGGGGUUGUAGCCCAAAUAGUGGUACUUUUGCUCAACUACCUAAUUAACAGCGGACAUUUUAGGUUCUUCAAGUGAAGCUUGUGAGAGCGAGUUCCUAAACUCUGCGUUGGGGCUGCUAAGGGGUUACCUCUGCUGAUUGGACGUUACUAUUUGGA
This 244-nucleotide unclassified non-coding RNA is filed under the name Hevea brasiliensis (rubber tree). Lineage: Eukaryota; Viridiplantae; Streptophyta; Magnoliopsida; Malpighiales; Euphorbiaceae. The record is from RNAcentral.